CGGAACGUGCCCAAUCGUGGGGGAUAACGCAGCGAAAGCUGUGCUAAUACCGCAUACGAUCUACGGAUGAAAGCAGGGGAUCGCAAGACCUUGCGCGAAUGGAGCGGCCGAUGGCAGAUUAGGUAGUUGGUGAGGUAAAGGCUCACCAAGCCUUCAAUCUGUAGCUGGUCUGAGAGGACGACCAGCCACACUGGGACUGAGACACGGCCCAGACUCCUACCGGGAGGCAGCAGCG
This 235-nucleotide ribosomal RNA is filed under the name uncultured Variovorax sp. RNAcentral's name for it is "partial 16S ribosomal RNA". It matches the Rfam family "Bacterial small subunit ribosomal RNA", at positions 119 to 356 of the family's 1533-position model. Lineage: Bacteria; Pseudomonadati; Pseudomonadota; Betaproteobacteria; Burkholderiales; Comamonadaceae. The record is from RNAcentral.